UACGUAGGUGGCAAGCGUUGUCCGGAUUUAUUGGGUUUAAAGGGCGCGUAGGCGGCUGUUCAAGUCGGGGGUGAAAGCCUGUGGCUCAACCACAGAAUUGCCUUCGAUACUGGACGGCUGGAGACCGGAAGAGGUCAGUGGAACUGCGAGUGUAGAGGUGAAAUUCGUAGAUAUUCGCAAGAACACCAGUGGCGAAGGCGGCUGACUGGUCCGGUUCUGACGCUGAGGCGCGAAAGCGUGGGGAGCAAACAGG
Molecule: ribosomal RNA, 253 nt
Filed under: uncultured bacterium
Lineage: Bacteria
Description: partial 16S ribosomal RNA
Rfam family: Bacterial small subunit ribosomal RNA
Source: RNAcentral